Molecule: ribosomal RNA, 920 nt
Filed under: uncultured bacterium
Lineage: Bacteria
Description: bacterial SSU rRNA
Rfam family: Bacterial small subunit ribosomal RNA
Source: RNAcentral
ACGCUGGCGGCGUGCCUAAUACAUGCAAGUCGAACGAGAGCGACCGGUGCUUGCACUGGUCAAUCUAGUGGCGAACGGGUGAGUAACACGUGGGUAACCUGCCCAUCAGAGGGGGAUAACAUUCGGAAACGGAUGCUAAAACCGCAUAGGUCCUUUAACCGCAUGGUUGAAGGAGGAAAAGAGGCGCAAGCUUCUGCUGAUGGAUGGACCCGCGGUGCAUUAGCUAGUUGGUGAGGUAACGGCUCACCAAGGCCGUGAUGCAUAGCCGACCUGAGAGGGUGAUCGGCCACAUUGGGACUGAGACACGGCCCAAACUCCUACGGGAGGCAGCAGUAGGGAAUCUUCCGCAAUGGACGCAAGUCUGACGGAGCAACGCCGCGUGAGUGAAGAAGGUUUUCGGAUCGUAAAACUCUGUUGUUAGAGAAGAACAAGUGCUAGAGUAACUGUUAGCGCCUUGACGGUAUCUAACCAGAAAGCCACGGCUAACUACGUGCCAGCAGCCGCGGUAAUACGUAGGUGGCAAGCGUUGUCCGGAUUUAUUGGGCGUAAAGCAAGCGCAGGCGGUUCCUUAAGUCUGAUGUGAAAGCCCCCGGCUCAACCGGGGAGGGUCAUUGGAAACUGGGGAACUUGAGUGCAGAAGAGGAGAGUGGAAUUCCAUGUGUAGCGGUGAAAUGCGUAGAUAUAUGGAGGAACACCAGUGGCGAAGGCGACUCUCUGGUCUGUAACUGACGCUGAGGCUCGAAAGCGUGGGUAGCAAACAGGAUUAGAUACCCUGGUAGUCCACGCCGUAAACGAUGAGUGCUAAGUGUUGGAGGGUUUCCGCCCUUCAGUGCUGCAGUUAACGCAUUAAGCACUCCGCCUGGGGAGUACGACCGCAAGGUUGAAACUCAAAGGAAUUGACGGGGACCCGCACAAGCGGU